CCUACGGGAGGCUGCAGUGGGGAAUAUUGCACAAUGGGGGAAACCCUGAUGCAGCGACGCCGCGUGAGCGAUGAAGUAUCUCGGUAUGUAAAGCUCUAUCAGCAGGGAAGAAAAUGACGGUACCUGACUAAGAAGCCCCGGCUAACUACGUGCCAGCAGCCGCGGUAAUACGUAGGGGGCAAGCGUUAUCCGGAUUUACUGGGUGUAAAGGGAGCGUAGACGGCUGUGCAAGCCAGAUGUGAAAGCCCGGGGCUCAACCCCGGGACUGCAUUUGGAACUGUGUGGCUGGAGUGUCGGAGAGACAGGCGGAAUUCCUAGUGUAGCGGUGGAAUGCGUAGAUAUUAGGAGGAACGCCAGUGGCGAAGGCGGCCUGCUGGACGAUGACUGACGUUGAGGCUGGAAAGCGUGGGGAGCAAACAGGAUUAGAUACACGAGUAGUC
RNAcentral lists this ribosomal RNA (440 nucleotides) under uncultured bacterium. Its description in RNAcentral is "partial 16S ribosomal RNA". It matches the Rfam family "Bacterial small subunit ribosomal RNA", at positions 338 to 795 of the family's 1533-position model. The record is from RNAcentral.